Molecule: ribosomal RNA, 856 nt
Filed under: uncultured bacterium
Lineage: Bacteria
Description: bacterial SSU rRNA
Rfam family: Bacterial small subunit ribosomal RNA
Source: RNAcentral
AGAGUUUGAUCAUGGCUCAGAAUCAACGCUGGCGGCGUGCCUAACACAUGCAAGUCGCACGAGAAAGUGGAGCAAUCCAUGAGUACAGUGGCGCACGGGUGAGUAACACGUGACUUAUCUACCUCCGAGUGGGGAAUAACCUAGAGAAAUCUGGGCUAAUACCGCAUAACACUUACGAGUCAAAGCAGCAAUGCGCUUGGAGAGGAGGUCGCGGCAGAUUAGUUAGUUGGCGGGGUAAUGGCCCACCAAGACGAUGAUCUGUAUCCGGCCUGAGAGGGCGCACGGACACACUGGAACUGAAACACGGUCCAGACUCCUACGGGAGGCAGCAGUGGGGAAUUUUGCGCAAUGGGGGAAACCCUGACGCAGCAACGCCGCGUGGAGGAUGAAAUCCCUUGGGAUGUAAACUCCUUUCGAUCGGGACGAUUAUGACGGUACCGGAAGAAGAAGCCCCGGCUAACUUCGUGCCAGCAGCCGCGGUAAUACGAGGGGGGCAAGCGUUGUUCGGAAUUAUUGGGCGUAAAGGGCGCGUAGGCGGUUUGACAAGUCUGAUGUGAAAUCUCUGGGCUCAACCCAGAGUCUGGCAUUAGAAACUGUCGGGCUUGAGUAUGGGAGAGGUGAGUGGAAUUUCCGGUGUAGCGGUGAAAUGCGUAGAUAUCGGAAGGAACACCUGUGGCGAAAGCGGCUCACUGGACCAUAACUGACGCUGAGGCGCGAAAGCUAGGGGAGCAAACAGGAUUAGAUACCCUGGUAGUCCUAGCCCUAAACGAUGAUUGCUUGAUGUGACAGGUACCCAAUCCUGUCGUGUCGAAGCUAACGCGAUAAGCAAUCCGCCUGGGGAGUACGGUCGCAAGGC